UACAGAGGUCCCAAGCGUUGUUCGGAUUCACUGGGCGUAAAGGGUGCGUAGGUGGUUGGGUAAGUCUGAGGUGAAAUCUCCGUGCUUAACUCGGAAACUGCCUUGGAUACUAUCCAGCUUGAGGGUUGGAGGGGGGACUGGAAUUCCUAGUGUAGAGGUGAAAUUCGUAGAUAUUAGGAAGAACACCAGUGGCGAAGGCGGCUCACUGGUCCGGUACUGACGCUGAGGUGCGAAAGCGUGGGGAGCAAACAGG
RNAcentral lists this ribosomal RNA (253 nucleotides) under uncultured bacterium. RNAcentral describes it as "partial 16S ribosomal RNA". It matches the Rfam family "Bacterial small subunit ribosomal RNA", at positions 524 to 776 of the family's 1533-position model. The record is from RNAcentral.